This 87-nucleotide transfer RNA is filed under the name Magnetococcales bacterium. RNAcentral's name for it is "tRNA-Leu". It matches the Rfam family "tRNA". From Rfam's summary of the family: Transfer RNA (tRNA) molecules are approximately 80 nucleotides in length. Their secondary structure includes four short double-helical elements and three loops (D, anti-codon, and T loops). The record is from RNAcentral. Lineage: Bacteria; Pseudomonadati; Pseudomonadota; Magnetococcia; Magnetococcales.
GCCGGGGUGGCGAAACCGGUAGACGCACCAGACUCAAAAUCUGGCGCUGACAACAGCGUGUCGGUUCGACUCCGACCCCCGGCACCA